GCCUUGUACACACCGCCCGUCACACCACGAGAGUUUGUAAUACCCAAAGCCGGUGAGCUAACCUUUAUGGAGGCAGCCGUCUAAGGUAGGAUAGAUGAUUGGGGUGAAGUCGUAACAAGGUAGCCGUAUCGGAAGGUGCGGCUGGAUCACCUCCUUU
Molecule: ribosomal RNA, 157 nt
Filed under: Pseudolactococcus plantarum
Lineage: Bacteria; Bacillati; Bacillota; Bacilli; Lactobacillales; Streptococcaceae
Description: Lactococcus plantarum partial 16S ribosomal RNA
Rfam family: Bacterial small subunit ribosomal RNA
Source: RNAcentral